GACGUAGGGCGCGAGCGUUGUCCGGAUUUAUUGGGCGUAAAGAGCUCGUAGGCGGCUUGUCACGUCGGAUGUGAAAGCCCGGGGCUUAACCCCGGGUCUGCAUUCGAUGCGGGCAGGCUAGAGUUCGGUAGGGGAGAUCGGAAUUCCUGGUGUAGCGGUGAAAUGCGCAGAUAUCAGGAGGAACACCGGUGGCGAAGGCGGAUCUCUGGGCCGAUACUGACGCUGAGGAGCGAAAGCGUGGGGAGCGAACAGG
Molecule: ribosomal RNA, 253 nt
Filed under: uncultured bacterium
Lineage: Bacteria
Description: partial 16S ribosomal RNA
Rfam family: Bacterial small subunit ribosomal RNA
Source: RNAcentral